ACUAAUUAGAUGAGUAUCUGCACUACGUGCGGGGUUAUAUAUUAUUAUUUACAAAUUAUUUUAUAUAAUGUCUGUUUAUAUAAAGUAAAGUUGAAUCCAUCGGUUUUGAAACAUAAAUAUAAUUUGUAAUUGUUUUUGAAAAGUCCAACUAUAUUAGUUCAUCUGAAAAACGAAUGUGUUUGAGUUGUUUUUAUUGUUGUUCUAGAUUCUCAGUUUUUUUAUAUAUAUAUAUCCUUGUUUUUUUUGUUAUAUGUUUAGAUUGUGAGACGGUAAAAUUUUAUUUCUUACACUAAAAAUAUAACAUGUCUUUAUUAACCAUGUCUCUGCAUAUUCAAUCUAAUCAUAUUCAACUUGAUGUUUUUGGAAAGUUUAGUUAAGUUCUUGUCAUAAUCUUAUAUCUUACGUAUUAGUUAUAAGGAUAGCUCCUCAAACAUCUUUCAAAUUACUUGUUUUCUUAUCAUAAAUUUCGAAAAACUUAGAUAUAUUUAAUCUGCAUAUUCAUUUAGUUUAUUUCAUAAUAAACGUCUAAUUUUUAGGUAAGGAAUAUGUGUAGCAUGUUUGGAUUUUAUGAUCACUUUAGCCACUAAGUGGAUCUCAAAAUUAAAAAGAAUAUAUUGAAUUAAAAAGAUAUAGAAAGAAUGAUGGUUCAAGUUCUGACUAAUUAUACUCUCAUAUUUUAGUUGUUAUGUUGAAUUAAUUACUAAUUAUGUAUUAGUUAUUUUAUGAAGUCUAGGUGGCAAGCUCUCAUGUGCUGAUGUGUCAAGUUGUGGGAGAGAGUUAACCUUCUUUCAUAUAUAUGAUUAAAACAUCAACCACUAGAUUUUUAUAUGAUUGUGAUGCCCCUUAAAACUUUGAUAUAUUUAGCGCCUUGGAUUUAUAGAUCACAUGUAACUGGAUUCUGAAAGCUAAAGUCGUGAGUUUUUGUGUAGAAUUUUUAUAAAAAACAACUUUAAGAACUUUACCCCACACACAAGCUUUAGAAAUCAUUACAACGCUUGAUUAGUGUUGUUGUAGUCAACAUAUGUCAUUAUAUGAUUAAGUAUAAGAACUAGAUAUGCAACGAGAUUCAGAAAGUUAAGUCGUAUAUGUAUUUGUGUAGAAGCUCCAAAAAAAC
Molecule: small RNA, 1114 nt
Filed under: Arabidopsis thaliana (thale cress)
Lineage: Eukaryota; Viridiplantae; Streptophyta; Magnoliopsida; Brassicales; Brassicaceae
Description: ATSL211410
Source: RNAcentral